AGCCUAUCAGAAGCGAGUUCUGGAAGGCGGGGCGGAAGACUGGAAGAAUGGAACGGAUUGACGAGACGAGUAGCCAAUGAGAGGUUUGAUUCUGAUAGUACCGGGCCACCAGAGGACCUGUCCGGGAAGGGAAAUGGGGCUACGUCCAGAAGGACCAAAUGAGGGUUUUGCCUUGUACCUCUGCAAAUGAACAUGAGAUGUCCAUCAUGAAACCAUAAGUGAAGGAAGUUGAAAGCAGAUGUUGGAGAUGGUGGGGUAACUAGCAUUGUCCUCAAGAGCCCUAGAGUGUUCACCCUCCACCCUGCGAGCCUGUUUAUGUGGGCUCUGAAAACUGUCCACUUUGACAAACAAACCAAAGGACAUAAAAGAAAAAAA
Odocoileus virginianus texanus is the source of this 375-nucleotide long non-coding RNA. RefSeq lists it as uncharacterized. NCBI's taxonomy places the organism in Eukaryota, Metazoa, Chordata, Mammalia, Artiodactyla, Cervidae. The record is from RefSeq and is a predicted model, not a curated record.